GAUGAACGCUGACAGAAUGCUUAACACAUGCAAGUCAACUUGAACUUCGGUCUGGGUGGCGGACGGGCGAGUCACGCGUAAAGAACUUGCCUCACAGAUAGGGACAACAUUUGGAAACGAAUGCUAAUACCUGAUAUUAUGAUUUUAGGGCAUCCUAGGAUUAUGAAAGCUAUAUGCGCUGUGAGAGAGCUUUGCGUCCCAUUAGCUAGUUGGAGAGGUAACGGCUCACCAAGGCGAUGAUGGGUAGCCGGCCUGAGAGGGUGAUCGGCCACAAGGGGACUGAGACACGGCCCUUACUCCUACGGGAGGCAGCAGUGGGGAAUAUUGGACAAUGGACCAAGAGUCUGAUCCAGCAAUUCUGUGUGCACGAUGAAGUUUUUCGGAAUGUAAAGUGCUUUCAGUUGGGAAGAAAAAAAUGACGGUACCAACAGAAGAAGUGACGGCUAAAUACGUG
This 454-nucleotide ribosomal RNA is filed under the name uncultured bacterium. RNAcentral's name for it is "partial 16S ribosomal RNA". It matches the Rfam family "Bacterial small subunit ribosomal RNA", at positions 28 to 507 of the family's 1533-position model. The record is from RNAcentral.